Molecule: ribosomal RNA, 312 nt
Filed under: Mariprofundaceae bacterium
Lineage: Bacteria; Pseudomonadati; Pseudomonadota; Candidatius Mariprofundia; Mariprofundales; Mariprofundaceae
Description: bacterial SSU rRNA
Rfam family: Bacterial small subunit ribosomal RNA
Source: RNAcentral
UCUAUGGAGAGUUUGAUCCUGGCUCAGAACGAACGCUGGCGGCGUGCCUAACACAUGCAAGUCGAACGGUAACAGGGACUUCGGUCCGCUGACGAGUGGCGCACGGGUGAGUAACGCGUGGGGCACCUGCCCAUAAGUGGGGAACAACUUGGAGAAAUCCAAGCUAAUACCGCAUAAUACCUUCGGGUUAAAGAGGGGGAUCUUCGGACCUCUCGCUUAUGGAUGGUCCCGCGUCUGAUUAGCUAGUUGGUGGGGUAAAAGCCUACCAAGGCAAUGAUCAGUAACUGGUCUGAGAGGAUGAUCAGUCACACU